Mesocricetus auratus (golden hamster) is the source of this 73-nucleotide non-coding RNA. Lineage: Eukaryota; Metazoa; Chordata; Mammalia; Rodentia; Cricetidae. The record is from Rfam.
GAGGAGAUGGCUCAGUGGUUAAGAGCACUGGCUGCUUUUGCAGAGGACCUGGGUUCAGUUCCCAGUACCCACA